RNAcentral lists this ribosomal RNA (254 nucleotides) under uncultured bacterium. Its description in RNAcentral is "partial small subunit ribosomal RNA". It matches the Rfam family "Bacterial small subunit ribosomal RNA", at positions 26 to 285 of the family's 1533-position model. The record is from RNAcentral.
AGGACGAACGCUGGCGGCGUGCUUAACACAUGCAAGUCGAGCGGAAAGGCCCUUCGGGGUACUCGAGCGGCGAACGGGUGAGUAACACGUGAGCAACCUGCCCUUAGCUUCGGGAUAGCUCCGGGAAACCGGAAUUAAUACCGAAUAUGACUUUGGCUGACAUCAGCAGAAGUGGAAAGUUUUUCGGCUAGGGAUGGACUCGCGGCCUAUCGGCUAGUUGGUGAGGUAACGGCCCACCAAGGCGACGACGGGUA